CGAUACGAUCACCGAAGUUAAGCAACGUCGAGUCUGGUCAGUACUUACACGGGUGAUCGCUUGGAAAUACCAGGUGCUGUAAG
Acanthosepion pharaonis is the source of this 83-nucleotide non-coding RNA. The record is from the annotation of a GenBank genome assembly. Lineage: Eukaryota; Metazoa; Mollusca; Cephalopoda; Sepiida; Sepiidae.